Phrynosoma platyrhinos (Desert horned lizard) is the source of this 72-nucleotide non-coding RNA. The record is from the annotation of a GenBank genome assembly. NCBI's taxonomy places the organism in Eukaryota, Metazoa, Chordata, Lepidosauria, Squamata, Phrynosomatidae.
GCCAGUGUAACAUAGUGGUUUGAGUACUGGACUGAGACUCUGGAGACCAGGGCUCGAUUCCCAGCUCUGCUA